GGGGAUAUAGCUCAAUGGUAAAAUAUUUGCCUAGGAUGCAAGAGAUCCUGGGUUCAAACGCUAGUAACCCCC
RNAcentral lists this transfer RNA (72 nucleotides) under Mus musculus (house mouse). It matches the Rfam family "tRNA". Rfam says of the family: Transfer RNA (tRNA) molecules are approximately 80 nucleotides in length. Their secondary structure includes four short double-helical elements and three loops (D, anti-codon, and T loops). The record is from Rfam by way of RNAcentral. Lineage: Eukaryota; Metazoa; Chordata; Mammalia; Rodentia; Muridae.